CUUCCUUCCUUCCUUCCUUCCUUCCUUCCUUCCUUCCUUCCUUCCUUCCUUCCUUCCUUCCUUCCUUUUUUGAGUGGAGGAGGAAAUGGCAAACUAUUCCAACAUCUUUGCCAAGAAAAUCCUAAACGGGGUCACAAAGAGUCAGACAUGACUGAAAUGACUCCACAACAAUGACAUUGAAGAUCAAAUGAGAUAAUGUAUAUUUGUAUCUCCAUAAAUAUAUAAAUAAAAUUUUCAACUGUCUCAGCCAUCAAAUCUAACCCAAAUAUGCACAUCAACCUUCAGCUGUCUCUGAUUAUUCCUCAUCUUUCCCAAUCUCCACUUUGGUCAGCAAAGAGUCCAUAGAUGAAGGUCACACUGCCCAUGUGCUCCUCCCCAAUCAGUUCAGCUCCUCUUAGGCUAGAUGGAUACUGAGUCCUGUCCUGUCUUUCAAUCAAAUCUUCUUCAUAAUUCAUAUUAUAACAAAUAAAUAAAGUAAAUGCCUGCAAGUAUUACUUGGUAAGUAUUAGUAUUUUAGAUGUUAGAAAAUCAAACAAUGAUAUUUGUUGAAACACCAUAAAAAUUUGAAAAUAUAGAUUAGACAUACAUUUAAUUUCUAUUUGAAGUUCCUAGGGUAUAGAAAACCUAUCUUUUGUCAUUUGUUGCCUUUGUAUCCAUUUAGCAAAUUCAUUCCAUGAACAGAACACAUAAGAACAUGGGGUUCUAAAAAUGAUAUGAGCUGGCACAUUUGCAAAGAGUGAUUAAGUUACCAACUGAAUUCAACUCUUUGGGCUAUAUUUAGACACUGUAUUUGGCAAAUAUAAGACAUGUAUACUUUCAGCAAGCCUAAGGUAUGAAAAUCUUGAUUUGUACAAAAUGUAACAUAGAAGAGAGUUCCUUUAAGUAAGAAACUCCUCUGGUGUUUACAAUUUUGUCUUUAAAAACCCUUCUAACUCUUAAAAAGUGUAAUGCUGUGAUUUACCUUCAUCAUCCAAAAAUGAUUACAGAAUUUUUAUAUUUGUUGACCAAUAAAGCAAGGUACACCAGUAAAGAGUCUUAAACUUUGAAUUAUAUCAAUUUCAGCAUAUAAUGAUAGCCAUCAUAAAUAUAAUAGGCAGCUACUAGUGUCAUGGUUUCAGGGGCUCAAAGUUUCCUAGCCUAAAAUAUAACACCUUUUGUCAAGCAGCUGGUAAAACAGUGGAUAGAGCCCUAUAGUCAGGGAGACAAGUUCAGAUACAGCUUCAGAUGCUUCCUACUUAUGUAACCCUAAGGAAAUCACCUAUAAAAUAGAUAUAAUGUAGAAUAAAUCCUAAAUGCUUGUCUCCUUCCAUAUAGGUCUGUAAUCUUUACCAUUUGAGUCAUAGAGUGUUAGAAAUGAAAAAGCCUAUAUUAAUUGUACUUGGCAAUUGUAAAAUCCAGCUUCUCAUUUUAUAGUUGAAGAAACUGAGACCCAAAGGAGUAGACUUCACCAAGGUGGAAUAGCUAAUAAAUAAAAAAGUCAGGACCCAAAUGAAGGUUUUCUGACUCUAAAUCCAGUGUUCUUGACAUUAUAAUGUUUCCACUAAUGUGCUUGUAACUUUUGCUUUACUUUUGCCUAGAAUUCCCCCCAAGCCCAUGGCAUUGGUCAAUACCAUGUAUUGGUAGUAUUGGAAGAAGAUUUGAUUGAAAGACGGGACAGGACUCGGUAUCCAUCUAGCCUAAGAGGAGCUGAACUGAUUGGGGAGGAGCAAUGGGAGGGUUCAUGGGCAGUGUGACCUUCAUCUAUGGACUCUUUGCUGACCUAAGUGGAGAUGGCAAAUGAUGAGGAAUAACCAGAGACAGCUGAAGGUUGAUGUGCAUAUUUGGGUUAGAUUUGAUGGCUGAGACAGUUGAAAUUUUUUCUUCUCUUUGCUUUUUAAUGGGUGCUUAGCCUGAAGCUAAGUUCUCCAUUUAACUGCUGGACAAUUUAUUUCCUGAUUCCCUUCUGCUUAACGAAAGGAGUGAAAGGCAUAGUGUUGUUUUCAAAGGUGGUGUUGUUUAACCCUCCCUCACUCUUUGUAACUCCAUUUGGGGUUUUCUUAGCAAAGAUACUUGGAGUGGUUUGCUAUUUCCUUCCCCAGUUCAUUUUACAGAGGACGAAACUGAGUUAAACAGUUAAAUGAUUUGUGGAAAAUCAUAUAGUUAGUGUUUGAGGCUAGAUUUGAACUCAGGAAGAUGAGUCUUCCUGCUUUCAGACCUGGCACUCCUUCUACUAUGCCAUCUAGUUGCACUGUUGAUCAAAGGUAGCAAGCAUUUAAACUUCUAUUUCCCUGUUAAAUCUUUUCAUUUCUUUGCUAUUUUAAUUGUUUGAUAAAACUGAUAACCAACAACCCUGACUGAUAUAGUUAAUUAUACCAGUGGGGUAUAAUUGGAAGAGAAAGAUAAUUUUUUUUUCUUUUAAAGAGGGAGAUUUUUUUUUCCUUUUAAGUGAAAGUUGGAUUGGAGAAGACUCUGGAACCAAUUGGUGAAAGAGGAUAUGAAUCCAGACUAUCUGCUAGACCAGAGAUGCUUAACUUGAGAUAUAUGGACAGAUGUAGUAAAGCUCAUUGCUCUGGGACUCUCUUUUCACUAAUGGAGAUCAGUCCCCUGCCCCUGGACAGGAUAGAGCUGUAAAGUGGGAGAGAGAAGCUCUUCAGACUCUCCAGUUGCUAAAGAACACUUCUGACUUCCAGCUUCAAAAGAGAAGAUGGAUGAUGCCAACCUCACUUUAGAUUGUUGAAGGAAGACUAAGAUUCUGGGGAAAAGUUGACAUGAGAGAAGCCAGUGGUCUUCACCAUGUCCACAUCCUCAACCUACUACACUAGGGACUUUGGGAAAUUUCCUCUUUAGAUGAGAUAUAUAACUCUAUUGACUGGUUUAACUAAUUUCUAAUGAAAAAGGUUUCUCAUCCUUAAUUUUCUGGCAUAUAUUCUCAUAUAUAUGCUUUCUUUGAUUUCUAUUGACUUAAAUAAGUGGAUUUCUUUGUUGUUUGUGAUGUGUGUGCUCAUUGUGAAACUAGUAUUUCGUAGGAAAGGAAUCAAGCCUUGUAUAUAAAUAUUAAGGUCUUCUUUCCCCCAUUAAUAAAUACAUUAGCCUGAACAUGAAAACUGCAUUCACUAGACCAAUAAGCAUAAGGGAACAAUUCUAGUCUGGUGUCCCCAUUUUCUGAGGAGAGCAGAGUGGCCAAGUCUUUGACCUCAACCUUUUGCUUCCUUCCUGGAAUGAAUUAAAACCUUCCUUUGAGAAAUAUGGGGGAGGAGAUGCUAGAUUGUCUACUCUGACUUCCCUUUGAGCCAUUCAACAACACCCCCAUUCUACAUAGAGAGGAUAGCCUUGCUAUACAUUAAAAAGACAUUCUUCUGAGAAGGAAUCCAUAAUCUUCUUCAAAUUGCCAUUAGGGGUCCGGAGACAACCCCAGAAUGCCAUGGAGGUCCAUGGCAUAUAAAAAAGUUAAGCACCCUUGAUCUAAACCUUUAUACAUAAUUAUGGAGACCCACAAUUGGAAAAAAGGGUUGAGGAAAGUCCCAUUCAGAGAGAAAACUGGCACCUCAGUUACUGAGCUGUUUGGCUUUGAUAUUACUAUGGCUGGCUAGCUAGCAUGAGACUGCUACUGGCCUUGCCUGGUGUUAGAGUUCCCCAAGCAUCAAACACAGACCUCACCAAGUAAAACUAUUAUUACACCUGGGUUUUACAUUACAUAUGGACUAUGUGAAUUUAGAGAAUAACCUAGUAGCCUUAUUCUUUAUGGGGAAAAGAAGGGCACAAUAAGCUGCUCAAUUGAAAAUCCUCCCAAAUAAGUAUAACUCCUCUCUCUACUUCUAUCCCCUUUUCUUUCUUUUUCCCUUUCUCCCUCAGUUUCCAAGCUGAAAUUCUCUGGUCCAAAUUUUUAAUGAAGUUAUUGAGAAUUUAAUUAAGUAGGGAUAUCUUCCCGUCAGACUCAGGCCAAACCCUCUUUUCCAGAGGACCCUCUGUGUUGCUAGCAUUUCUAUAGGAUGGAGCAGUGAGAACAACAAAACUGUCACUAGUCCAUACUUCUCUCAAUACUGUUUUACUUCUAACAUUUCUUUUAGGUUUAACUGGUACAGAGAAAACUAAAACAAAAAUAUCAGAAAGGAAACCCCAGAAAAGAAUAAUUUGUGAAAGGUUAGAUUUUUUUUUAAUUAUGAUAGUCAACAGAUCUGCUGAGUUUUCAGAGUUGGAUCAGAUACCUCAGUAUUUGUCUGAUGAUCAUUUUUUUUUAUCCUCCUGGAGAUGAGGAACAAAUCUGGCAGAUACAAAACUCUGUUUCCAUCUUACCCACAAUCUUCCCCAUUGUGACAGAAAUAUACAUUUCUGCAGCCACAAAAUACUUUAAGCUUACACCCACUGAUUUGUCAUUAUAGAUUGUCACAAAGUCCUUUUUUAGGAUAAUAAUACCAGUCUGAGUAGAGCAGAAAUGUUGCUCAUAGUACAAUAGGACAUAAAUUUGGAAAGUUGAAUAGUCAGCCCAAGUGUCUAGUAGGGUGCAGCUAAGUGGUACAGUGAGUGGAUAGAUUGCUGACCUGGAGUCUGGAAGGUACUUAUUCCUGAGUUCAAAGAUAGCUUCAGACACUGGGUAAUCUUAGGCAAGUCAUUUAACCCUGUUUGCCUUAGUUUCCUCAUUUGUAAAAUGAGCUGGAGAAAAAAAUGGUGAACUACUCCAGUAUCUUUUUCAAGAAAUUCCCAAGUUGAGUCAGGAAAGUCAUACUUGAUGGUAUAAUAACAAAAAUUGUCCAAAGUCUUCAAAAUUAUUUUUACAUAUUGAAUCACUUGGGAUGAUUUCAUUAAUAUUCUUCUUGUUUCAUAGUUACUUGAUAUAAAAUAUGUUAUGCUUCUACACAUAUGUAUUUCCUUUAAAAUAUGAAAACCUACUGACAUUCUAUCAGUGUUAUUGUCUUAAGUGAGUAAUGGUUAGUGUAAGUCACUUUGUCACCAGAUCUGCAUAACCCAGAUUUAAAUGCAAACCACAUCCUACAUGUUGCUUUUAAUUUUUCAUGUUUCUGUUCGUGGUGUUUAACAUUUUUGUAUGUCCUAACUGGUUUUAAAAUGUAAUUUCCUUAGAUUUUAUAGAUUUAUGGUUUAUUUUUCUUGUUAUUUGAAAUAAAAGAUUAGCAAUGUGCCUGUU
Molecule: long non-coding RNA, 5119 nt
Organism: Monodelphis domestica (gray short-tailed opossum)
Lineage: Eukaryota; Metazoa; Chordata; Mammalia; Didelphimorphia; Didelphidae
Source: RefSeq, a predicted model, not a curated record